Molecule: long non-coding RNA, 856 nt
Filed under: Triticum aestivum (bread wheat)
Lineage: Eukaryota; Viridiplantae; Streptophyta; Magnoliopsida; Poales; Poaceae
Description: long non-coding RNA (TAES_LNC007542)
Source: RNAcentral
UCCACGAUCAUUUGAUAUUUGGAUGAUUUGCAACAUGUCAAUCUUCCAUCAAUUGCAAGUUGCUGCUGCUUUUAGAUUUUUCUUGUGGAGAAGCAGUUCUUGCUUGAUCUCUUGAAAUGAUUUAGUAGGGAUUUUGCUUCUAGGUAAGUCUAUAAUCCUUGAACAUUUUAGUUUGAUGUGCAAGUCAAAGAUAUUUAAUAGGUUGGCUGGCUGAAUUAAUAAUCAUUUUUCAUCUACAUUGUUCAUUGCAUACUGUUUUCAAAUUUCGUCAUUCCUAUCUUUUUUAUUGUCGGACACCUGCAGCUGAAGGAAAUAAAAUUCAUUAUUGGUAGACUAGAACCAUGAUGGUACUACACAAUAUAAAGUUGCAGAAUAUAGAUCGCUUUAUGUCCUGGAGCUGCAAUCGUCCCUGGUCUGGCAAUGGCGGCGACGCUGCCCUGCUGGGCGAGGCCUAGUGUCGUUGUGUGUCUGUAGUUGAGGGCACCUCCUCACCUAGUUGUAGUCGCUUGGUGAGGACGGUCGUGUAUGUGUGCGCGCGCGUGUGUGUGUUCCUCCUUUCUGGAGGUUGUACCCCUGAUGUCUUCCUGUUCAAUGAAAUGAAACGCAAAUUCUCUUGCGUUUUUUUUAAAAGAUCGCUUUCUGUUGUGUAUGCACUCGACUGUAGUUGCAAGCCAGGACAUUUACUGAUUUAUAACUGCAGUUUGUCAAUAAAAUUAUACGUAAUGUUCAUUUGUUUGGGCACGAAAAGAUAUCCUCCUUUUCUUGUGUUGUAUGGUGAACAUUUGCAACUAGCCAAAUGGUGCAGCCAUGAUCUUGACUUGUUUUUAAAGAAUAUUAUAAUCACCACUGGUGUCAG